Haliotis rufescens (red abalone) is the source of this 444-nucleotide long non-coding RNA. RefSeq lists it as uncharacterized. The transcript has 2 exons. NCBI's taxonomy places the organism in Eukaryota, Metazoa, Mollusca, Gastropoda, Lepetellida, Haliotidae. The record is from RefSeq and is a predicted model, not a curated record.
GCACACCAGUGUAUUGUUUUGGUCAUCUGGACAGCAUUGUUAACCUCAUUCGAGUCUUAUUGUGACGAAAGGUCGGAAUGAUGUCAGCCUCCAGUCUGUUAAAGAUAUUCUGUUAUAGACAGAAGAUGUCAUCAGUCACAACUACCAAACGAAUCUGAGAAAGCAGGUACCAAACAUUUUUUUACUUACUUUUUUUUCUGGUAAUCCAAUGAACAAUUAUUUGUUUGGUAUAAAGUUAUGAGGGAAAUACAUUUUUCAGUAUUUUCUGGUAAUUCUUAAGAAAAUUACGACACACAAAUAAUCAAAAUCCUGGAAUGUACAGUGAUUGAGAAGUGUCAUGACAUCACAACAAAAGAUUGUGUUCAUUUGGCUAGAAAAAAUAGUCUUGGUUCUCAGGCACCGCCCGCAUCAUCAUAAAAUUGGCUGCACAUUUCGUUUUUAAUU